UUGGCUGUGUAUAUUUUUGAUCUACUAGACUAUUAUAUAACAUUUUAUUAUAGAUAUCUUUUGCUUGUAUUUGUUUAUUUCCCCAUCUCAAAUUAUCCUUAUUGAUACUGAUUUUACUCUUUAAAGAGUUUUCUUUAAUUAGAACUUGCUGCCAUUCCUUUGGGAUGGAAGAUUUUAAUAUCGUAAACUCUGCAAUCCAAUUAGACUUAUUGCUUAAUUUUUCUAAAAUAAAAACCUCUGAUAACUUUCCCUCACGAUCAAGUAUGUCGUUGAUAUAAAUCAAACCACUUGCUACCCAGUUUUGAAAGAACAAACUUUUGUUACAAUGUUUAACGUAUCUAUUUCCCCAAAUAAUCUGUUUUCUAAUAUUUGAAAAAUGAUCUUUAAAUUUUGUAAAACCUCCCCC
RNAcentral lists this long non-coding RNA (406 nucleotides) under Mytilus galloprovincialis (Mediterranean mussel). The record is from RNAcentral. Lineage: Eukaryota; Metazoa; Mollusca; Bivalvia; Mytilida; Mytilidae.